UACGUAGGGGGCAAGCGUUGUCCGGAUUUAUUGGGCGUAAAGAGCGUGUAGGCGGCCAGGUAGGUCUGCUGUGAAAACUCGAGGCUCAACCUCGAGACGUCGGCGGAAACCAUCUGGCUAGAGUCCGGAAGAGGAGAGUGGAAUUCCUGGUGUAGCGGUGAAAUGCGCAGAUAUCAGGAAGAACACCCGUGGCGAAGGCGGCUCUCUGGGACGGUACUGACGCUGAGACGCGAAAGCGUGGGGAGCUAACAGG
This 253-nucleotide ribosomal RNA is filed under the name uncultured bacterium. Its description in RNAcentral is "partial 16S ribosomal RNA". It matches the Rfam family "Bacterial small subunit ribosomal RNA", at positions 524 to 776 of the family's 1533-position model. The record is from RNAcentral.